GAUGAAGACGCAGUGAAAUGCGAUACGUAAUGUGAAUUGCAGAAUUCAGUGAAUCAUCGAAUCUUUGAACGCACAUUGCGCCUGCCAGCACUCUGGCAGGCAUGCCUGUUCGAGCGUCAUUUCAACCAUCAAGCCCUAGGCUUGCGUUGGAGCCCUGCGGCUGCCGCAGGCCCCUAAAAGCAGUGGCGGGCUCGCUAUCACACCGAGUGCAGUAGAUUACUCUUCGCUCAGGGCGUGUGGCGGGUUCCAGCCGUGAAACCCCCUACUUCUCAAGGUUGACCUCGGAUCAGGUAGGAAUACCCGCUGAACUUAAGCAUAUCAAUAAGCGGAGGA
This 333-nucleotide unclassified non-coding RNA is filed under the name soil metagenome. Its description in RNAcentral is "partial contains 5.8S ribosomal RNA, internal transcribed spacer 2, and large subunit ribosomal RNA". The stretch from base 1 to 119 matches the Rfam family "5.8S ribosomal RNA", at positions 35 to 154 of the family's 154-position model. The record is from RNAcentral.